GAGCAGGAGCACUCAGCAGCCGUCAAGGUGCUCUUCAAUUCGUUCAAAAUGGUGGAAAUUGUGAGGGAUGAACAGUUGGAGAAACUGAAGGUUUGGGCCCAUGUCCUAUUGAAGUUGGCAGUUGUCAUUGGGCGGACCGACGUCAACUCGAUGCAGUUAGGGCCGCAGCAGCAAGUGUCUUUCCUGCCGCUGCUGUGAUGUUAGUGCAUCACUCCCCCGCCUUCAUCGCUACUUUCGCUGAGGUAGGUAGUCAAGACCUGCCCUGCCCGGCCGUCCUUUGAGCUUCCACACCGGCAUGCAGCGAGUGAGGAGACAGACGGGACGCCUGCCGCCCGGUUCCGUGCAUGACGCUGCCGUGUCACAACUUCCCCACUUUCGUCCUCCCGUGAACUUCCCGUCGUCGACAUCUCACCAAUCGAGCGAACCUCCUCCCGGGGAUGUCCUGACCGAAAGCGACCUAGAGCUGGAAAUCACUUGGGAGUUCCAUUUUGGUAUGUAUUAGUCAUGUCUUUGAAGCUUACCUAACUACUAGACAACGCCGCGAGUCCCGGAGUUCUAAACAGCGAUGACCACCGCAACCGCAACGGCAACGAAGAUGGCGUCAAUGACAAUCUACUAUGCCUUCAGAAAGCCUCAUCAAAUGCUGUCUCGACAAUCCGCACAAACUAGGCCGACCUUCCAAUGAGACCGGCGGUCACGUCGAGGGCACGCAGCCUGACGCAAUUGGUUCCUCCUUCCUUUGUCCUGCUUAUCUCGGUGCUAUACCGCGGAGGUCUCGAACCUAGCGAUCAAAACAACAACAAACCUCAUGGUUGGAUCGGCCAUCUACAUCACUGAGCAAGCCGGAUCGCCAGUUCCUGUUCUGGAAUUUCUCCUCCAUUCUUGUGGCUCGUCUCAACACGAAAGAAUGCGGAUAUCUUCGGGGGUUGCAACGUGCCAUCAUUGAAGCCUUGCACAUUCCCAGGGACAUUACACUACCCAGCGCAUUGAACGCUCCUGCGUUACCACAGUUCACGUACCUAAUGGGCUUCCAGGACGCAAGGUACCCCUUCACAGCAUUUCAUGCAGAUGUCUUUCAACGCGAAUCAUAGGUGUGAUAGAGAUUCAACCCUCGCCAGAGAAGCAAAACCGACACACUCUUACCUUUCCGCGACCAAAACAUUCCUCCAAAAGAGUGCUCCAACGACGACCACCUCUAAUGAACUGCGUUACACCACAAAAAGACUCCGCGAUGAGCCAGAAAUCAUCAGGGUUAUGAUCUUCAAGCCUCGAAGUGUCGAUACUAGGCUUUGGCUCACACCAACUUUGGCACAAAGUGGUCUCAAUACAACUUUGUGCCAAUCUCAAAUCACAAACACUGUGGAGGAGUGAUCUAAAUCUUCCUUCGGGAGUUAGUGACAACUGAGGGCACACAUCGAUGCCCUUUCUUCGGCCAUCAGGGUCUUCGGGAUCGGCAGUGUCCCGGGCCGUCCCAUUGUCACAUUCCGAUUGGCAAUAAUUCUCGAGGCUGCCAUUCAAGCCUUCCGAGAACCCAGCUAUGGAGCUUUACGGCACUGGCACAUGAUCGACGUAACAUCUGGAGGAUGGCCCUUUACAGAAGUAGAUGCCAGCGGCGUCUCGCAUUUCGAGCUCGGCAAUUUAUCCUGAAAAAAAAACAACGGAAAGAAACAGAAUGCCGAUUUGGCGUGGGUUGUCCAAACGGUCAUUUCUUGACACAUUUCUUAUCCAGCCUGCAGGAGGAAUGUUAUCCAGAAGCUCCGGCGGUAACCUGAGGAUGAAAAGUCCAUAGCAGGAUGGCUGACCAUGGAAGAUUAUAAGUGCGAUACAUCCAUGUGAAGAAUGUCGGCUAGUCACUGCCAUCCAUGGUCCACGGUUUGGCGUCUCAUUUCCCGCAACUUGCCUCACUCUCAGCUCGAUUUUGGCAGCCAUACGUUCCUUUGCCCUCGCCCUAGUGGCGUCCAUCGCUGGUGCCCUAGCCGCCACCAUGCACAUUAACGAUUCAACCUUUCAGGACCACAUGGCACUGACUGUGCUGGAGGGUUUGUCCGGGAUGGACGGUCAACAGAUACCAGCGGUGAGCGGUCAACAUAACGUUGUCGAUAUAGUCAUGUCCAAGCUUCCCACCAUCAAAAUGGACACCGCCCCCACCGAUGCUGUAUCCGGCACUAAGACAUCAACCUUAGGGUGGCCAUCCUGCAAGGACACUCUGGCUUGCAACUUCGACUUCCUUUAGAAUGUCUCUUUGUCUGACUGGCUCAUCUACCUUGUCACCAUCCAGGUCAAACUCCUCGGCGGCCAAAACAAAAGCCAGACCCAGUUCAAGGCUAUUGAAGGACCCAUGCAAUACUUUAUCGACAAAAGUCUUGCCAAUCCAAAUACGGCUUGGCUGGUGUGCUUGAGGGAAUCAAGCGUGGUACGGCCAUUGCCCUGGGGAAAGUCAAACGACACGUUUGGAAACCCUAGCUCUCCCAUGUGGGCAGCUUUCCUCAGGCAAGUAAGGACUGAUGACUUCAGAAACAGGGCUGCUCACAACGCUGCUUGGUCUCAGGCCUUUCAGCUAGGCCUUAACUAUGGUGUUCAGACAGGUGACCGGCUUACCAGGAACACGGUUUUUUUUUUCAUUGGUCACGUUGAGAUACUAGAGCGCGCGGCUGUCUUCAAUAUUAUCGUUGUUUGGAACAUUCUCGCUUAGAAUGAGGGCGCCUAUACGCCAUUACUUCAGCCUCGCUCCCGUCAUCUCCCAGCCUCUGCUUCCCUACGGCUUCACAGCCGACACGUUCAUCAACUGGAUCUUCAAUGUCUCCGAUCCCAAGCCCUUGUAUUGUCUGGUGGAUGCCGCCUUCAACGACCGUUCUAUUGAAGCCCUCGGAAUCGAGCCCACUACAUUCCUGUCUGACAUCAACAACUUGAUCACAAUCAUUCCAGCUUUUCUAAGGUGUUAUACGGUUGGAGCGAAUAUCUAAGUCUUGGGUACCGGCCUUUGUGUCUAACUGGAUGGGCCAGAAUGAUUGGCAAUGAGAAGCAACGGAUGCUAGGCUUGGCUUAAAUACAAUGCAGGGAGCACUGAAUGUGAGGUUUGCCUUUUGGUAUGACUCACGGAGGAGAGAAUUUAGCUCAUUGAGAGUUGUGGUAUUAUAUCGCCAUGUGCUAGUUCUGUCGCCCACCUUUAAAUGCAAACACCAUGACACCCCU
RNAcentral lists this small RNA (3192 nucleotides) under Neurospora crassa OR74A. RNAcentral describes it as "Neurospora crassa sRNA NCU14176". The record is from RNAcentral. Lineage: Eukaryota; Fungi; Ascomycota; Sordariomycetes; Sordariales; Sordariaceae.